GAUGAACGCUAGCGGCAGGCUUAACACAUGCAAGUCGAGGGGCAGCAUAAUGGAUAGCAAUAUCUAUGGUGGCGACCGGCGCACGGGUGCGUAACGCGUAUGCAACCUACCUUUAACAGGGGGACAACACUGAGAAAUUGGUACUAAUACCCCAUAAUAUCAUAGAAGGCAUCUUUUAUGGUUGAAAAUUCCGAUGGUUAGAGAUGGGCAUGCGUUGUAUUAGCUAGUUGGUGGGGUAACGGCUCACCAAGGCGACGAUACAUAGGGGGACUGAGAGGUUAACCCCCCACACUGGUACUGAGACACGGACCAGACUCCUACGGGAGGCAGCAGUGAGGAAUAUUGGUCAAUGGACGCAAGUCUGAACCAGCCAUGCCGCGUGCAGGAUGACGGCUCUAUGAGUUGUAAACUGCUUUUGUACGAGGGUAAACGCAGAUACGUGUAUCUGUCUGAAAGUAUCG
This 461-nucleotide ribosomal RNA is filed under the name uncultured bacterium. Its description in RNAcentral is "bacterial SSU rRNA". It matches the Rfam family "Bacterial small subunit ribosomal RNA", at positions 28 to 480 of the family's 1533-position model. The record is from RNAcentral.